UGACUGAACGUUGCGCGCAGGAGGCAAGGCCAACAUAGCAGUGGCGGUCAUGGCCACUCUUUUUCUACCUCUCAACCCCUAUUCUCCCACCCCAAUUCGAAACCCUAAUCUCUCUUCUCUUCCUUUCCAAACCCUAAGACAUCAUCGCACCCCAUUCCUUCGUGCAUUUAACGAAGAUUCCAAUCCUGAAACCGUCCAAGAUGGCGAGGUGAACAAUUUGGGAGUCAAAGCUGCACUGUCCAUGUUGAGAUUCUACAAGAGGGAAAUUUCACCAAUUUUGCCAAAGAGUUGUCGAUACAUUCCAACAUGCAGUGAGUAUUCCAUGCAGGCUUAUAAGAAAUAUGGAGUGAUGAAGGGUACAGUUUUGACUGCAUGGCGUUUGUGUCGUUGCAAUCCCCUUGGUGGGCAUGGUUAUGAUCCACCUAGAUGGUUUGGUGAGGUUAGUCCACUGGAAGAUGCUGAUGACGACUGAUUAAUAUUGAUGGCUGAUUUUAAGGUGGUCAUCGCUACUGACUGAACAUUUUGAUGUUCAUAGAUGUGCUAAUGUUGUGAGUUUGUUGUGAUUUGCAUCUGCCUUUUCUGCACGACUUUGUACUAAUGCAAAAUAAGUUCUGUUCUUACCGCAUCAGAGAAAUUGCAUUAAGUAAGAAGAAUGAUAUACCGGGUCCAAAUAGUGCUGAUGAUAAUCACAUUGAACUUCUUUGUACAGCCAAAGAGAAAACAGUGCUGAAACAAAGAGAGAUCUGUUAACUUCUAUGCUAAAUUACUGGUGGCUUUCAAGAAAGAGAUUGUUAUAUGAUAACAUUCUGGGAAAAAAAGAUGACCUUCCUCAGGCUGAAUUCAGGAAACAUAAGUAGUGCUAAUGUUGCGGAAGUCUGCAUUCAGAUAAUUGGUGUCUUUGGAAGGACUGUAGUGGGAUCAGGUUGAGCAAAAUGCUGUAUGAUGUCAAAGAUUUCAGAGCUUUUUACACCAUUUUCAGGUGUUACAUUUGGAUUUGUGGUCUUUGAACCCACAAACUCCACGUCAUCUUCAUCAUCAGAAACAGUGCUCUUGUGGACAGGAUUAAGGGUCUCAAAGCAUGUGAUUCCUUCAAAGCAGUCUUCCAACCCAAGCCUUUUGAGUGCCUUAAUCGCAUGGACUUUGUCUCCGUUGGUGAAGAUCUAUUCACAAAACAAAAUCAAGUGUUGGAUGGAAUUACAAAUAAUUAGAAAAGGAAGAAAAGAGAAUAUGCUAAUGAGGGUGUCAUUUGAAAUUAAUACUAUAUGCUAAUCAUCAUUAAAUAACAUACAGAUAAAUCAUAAAAUAUGUGGUUAAGUUUUAAUUCAUAUAGUUUUUUUUUUUUUUACUUGUAAUCCUUAUGUUUUAAGGAAAACACAUUUUUAGUCCUUGCUGGGCUUUUGAUAAAUGUGGGGACAAGAGUCAAUAAUUUGUUUUAAAAGACUAAAAUAAAAAUAUGUUAUAUUUUCAGAGAUCAAAAAUAAUUUUAACCUAAGAUGAUUUUUAAAUAUUUUAAUAUUUUGACUGGAAUAUGGUCAAUUACUUAAAAGGACUGGUGUGGAUGUUGCAUGACCAAGGAUAAUAAUAUUUAAAAUAUUUUCUGAA
RNA transcript from Cajanus cajan (pigeon pea), 1602 nucleotides. It is a transcript of the gene named membrane protein insertion efficiency factor, with no coding region annotated. The record is from RefSeq and is a predicted model, not a curated record. NCBI's taxonomy places the organism in Eukaryota, Viridiplantae, Streptophyta, Magnoliopsida, Fabales, Fabaceae.